AGAAACUCAAAUGAAUUGACGGGGCCGCACAAGCGUGGAGUAUGUGGUUUAAUUCGAUGCAACGCGAAGACCUUACCUGGUCUUGACAUCCCGGAGACCCUUAGGAAACUAGGGGGUGCUUCCAUCUGGAAGAAUCUGGAGACAGGUGCUGCAUGGCUGUCGUCAGCUCGUGUCGUGAGAUGUUGGGUUAAGUCCCGCAACGAGCGCAACCCUUGCCUUUAGUUGCCAGCAGUUCGGCUGGGCACUCUAAAGGGACUGCCGGUGUUAAACCGGAGGAAGGUGGGGAUGACGUCAAGUCCUCAUGGCCUUUAUGACCAGGGCUACACACGUACUACAAUGGCCGAUACAAAGGGCAGCGACACUGCGAGGUGAAGCCAAUCCCGUAAAAUCGGUCUCAGUCCGGAUUGGAGUCUGCAACUCGACUCCAUGAAGUUGGAAUCGCUAGUAAUCGUGGAUCAGCAUGCCACGGUGAAUACGUUCCCGGGCCUU
This 489-nucleotide ribosomal RNA is filed under the name uncultured Desulfobulbus sp. Its description in RNAcentral is "bacterial SSU rRNA". It matches the Rfam family "Bacterial small subunit ribosomal RNA", at positions 895 to 1382 of the family's 1533-position model. Lineage: Bacteria; Pseudomonadati; Thermodesulfobacteriota; Desulfobulbia; Desulfobulbales; Desulfobulbaceae. The record is from RNAcentral.